This 496-nucleotide ribosomal RNA is filed under the name uncultured bacterium. Its description in RNAcentral is "partial 16S ribosomal RNA". It matches the Rfam family "Bacterial small subunit ribosomal RNA", at positions 30 to 523 of the family's 1533-position model. The record is from RNAcentral.
AUUGAACGCUGGCGGAAUGCUUUACACAUGCAAGUCGAACGGUAGAGGGGGCAACCCCUUGAGAGUGGCGAACGGGUGAGUAAUAUAUCGGAACGUGCCCAGUCGUGGGGGAUAACGUAGUGAAAAUUACGCUAAUACCGCAUACGAUCUAAGGAUGAAAGCGGGGGAUCGCAAGACCUCGCGCGAUUGGAGCGGCCGAUAUCAGAUUAGGUAGUUGGUAGGGUAAAGGCCUACCAAGCCAACGAUCUGUAGCUGGUCUGAGAGGACGACCAGCCACACUGGAACUGAGACACGGUCCAGACUCCUACGGGAGGCAGCAGUGGGGAAUUUUGGACAAUGGGCGAAAGCCUGAUCCAGCCAUUCCGCGUGCAGGAUGAAGGCCUUCGGGUUGUAAACUGCUUUUGUACGGAACGAAAAGGUUUCCAUUAAUACUGGGAGCUCAUGACGGUACCGUAAGAAUAAGCACCGGCUAACUACGUGCCAGCAGCCGCCGUAA